GUAACAAGGUUUCCGUAGGUGAACCUGCGGAAGGAUCAUUACCGUGGGGAUUCGUCCCCAUUGAGAUAGCACCCUUUGUUUAUGAGCACCAUUGUUUCCUCGGCGGGCUUGCCCGCCGGUGGACAUACCAAACCCUUUGUAGUAGCAGUAUCUUCAGUAAAAAAACAAAUAUUAAAACUUUCAACAACGGAUCUCUUGGUUCUGGCAUCGAUGAAGAACGCAGCGAAAUGCGAUAAGUAGUGUGAAUUGCAGAAUUCAGUGAAUCAUCGAAUCUUUGAACGCACAUUGCGCCCUUCGGUAUUCCGUUGGGCAUGCCUGUUCGAGCGUCAUUUAAACCUUCAAGCUCUGCUUGGUGUUGGGUGUUUGUUCCGCCUCUGUGCGUGGACUCGCCUCAAAUUCAUUGGCAGCCGGUAAGUUGGCUUCGUGCGCAGCACAUUGCGUCUCGAUUCCAUCCUGCCCCCUCCCAUUAAGCCUCUUUUUUACUUGACCUCGGAUCAGGUAGG
RNAcentral lists this ribosomal RNA (503 nucleotides) under Ascomycota sp. FL-2010a. Its description in RNAcentral is "eukaryotic LSU rRNA". The stretch from base 176 to 329 matches the Rfam family "5.8S ribosomal RNA". Lineage: Eukaryota; Fungi; Ascomycota. The record is from RNAcentral.